Molecule: ribosomal RNA, 1228 nt
Filed under: Enterococcus faecium
Lineage: Bacteria; Bacillati; Bacillota; Bacilli; Lactobacillales; Enterococcaceae
Description: bacterial SSU rRNA
Rfam family: Bacterial small subunit ribosomal RNA
Source: RNAcentral
UAUGAGAGUUUGAUCCUGGCUCAGGACGAACGCUGGCGGCGUGCCUAAUACAUGCAAGUCGAACGCUUCUUUUUCCACCGGAGCUUGCUCCACCGGAAAAAGAGGAGUGGCGAACGGGUGAGUAACACGUGGGUAACCUGCCCAUCAGAAGGGGAUAACACUUGGAAACAGGUGCUAAUACCGUAUAACAAUCGAAACCGCAUGGUUUUGAUUUGAAAGGCGCUUUCGGGUGUCGCUGAUGGAUGGACCCGCGGUGCAUUAGCUAGUUGGUGAGGUAACGGCUCACCAAGGCCACGAUGCAUAGCCGACCUGAGAGGGUGAUCGGCCACAUUGGGACUGAGACACGGCCCAAACUCCUACGGGAGGCAGCAGUAGGGAAUCUUCGGCAAUGGACGAAAGUCUGACCGAGCAACGCCGCGUGAGUGAAGAAGGUUUUCGGAUCGUAAAACUCUGUUGUUAGAGAAGAACAAGGAUGAGAGUAACUGUUCAUCCCUUGACGGUAUCUAACCAGAAAGCCACGGCUAACUACGUGCCAGCAGCCGCGGUAAUACGUAGGUGGCAAGCGUUGUCCGGAUUUAUUGGGCGUAAAGCAAAUGAUAAGUUAUGAUAAAUGAGUUGCUGUAAGAUUUCGAAAAACGAAAUCAAAAAAACUUUUAAAAAGAGACUUGAGUGCAGAAGAGGAGAGUGGAAUUCCAUGUGUAGCGGUGAAAUGCGUAGAUAUAUGGAGGAACACCAGUGGCGAAGGCGGCUCUCUGGUCUGUAACUGACGCUGAGGCUCGAAAGCGUGGGGAGCAAACAGGAUUAGAUACCCUGGUAGUCCACGCCGUAAACGAUGAGUGCUAAGUGUUGGAGGGUUUCCGCCCUUCAGUGCUGCAGCUAACGCAUUAAGCACUCCGCCUGGGGAGUACGACCGCAAGGUUGAAACUCAAAGGAAUUGACGGGGGCCCGCACAAGCGGUGGAGCAUGUGGUUUAAUUCGAAGCAACGCGAAGAACCUUACCAGGUCUUGACAUCCUUUGACCACUCUAGAGAUAGAGCUUCCCCUUCGGGGGCAAAGUGACAGGUGGUGCAUGGUUGUCGUCAGCUCGUGUCGUGAGAUGUUGGGUUAAGUCCCGCAACGAGCGCAACCCUUAUUGUUAGUUGCCAUCAUUCAGUUGGGCACUCUAGCAAGACUGCCGGUGACAAACCGGAGGAAGGUGGGGAUGACGUCAAAUCAUCAUGCCCCUUAU